This 1359-nucleotide long non-coding RNA is filed under the name Oryctolagus cuniculus (rabbit). Its description in RNAcentral is "lncRNA (ENSOCUG00000038604.1)". The record is from RNAcentral. Lineage: Eukaryota; Metazoa; Chordata; Mammalia; Lagomorpha; Leporidae.
GUUAUCCCCCCCCCCCCAGUUAUUCCCCCCGCCCCCCCGCAGUUAUUCAGUAUUUAUAGCAGCAGUCACUGCACACUGUGGUUCCCACCCAACGCUGCAUUUAUUCUGUCGCGCGCAUUGUCCCAGCUCUGCUAACUAGGAGUUUAUUUUUGUAUUUGAUUAUUGUGAUUUAUUCCAAAGGCACAUUGACAGAAAGGGAGAGACAGACCAAAAGAACUCUUCCACCCACUGGGUCACUCCCCACGUGGCUGCUGCAGCUGGGCCGGGCCGGGCGGAGACCAGGAGCCUGGAACCCACCUGCUUCUCCCACGUGGGUGCAGGGGCCAAGCGCUUGGGCCAUCAUCUGCUGCUUCCCCAGGCGCGUUAGCAGGGAGCGGGAUCGGAAGUGGAGCAGCCGGGACUUGAACUGGUGCCGGUGUGGGGCGCUGGUGUCACAGGCGGUGACUUAAUCUGCUAGGCCACAACGCUGGCCCCAGUUGGGAGGUGUUUUUUUUUUUUCCCCCGUGUCUGCUCCUGUGUCCCUUUAACGUAUUGCUUGUUUCUUUUUUAUUCAAGUUAGCAUGCAUGAAGGAAGGCGCACACGUUGCAAGCGCAGCCUUUUGAAUUUUCACAUAAUUAAUACCCAGAGGAGGUACAGAGCAUCACCCUCACAAGGAGGCUCUCCUCAUUCUUCCACAGGGAUGCUGAUGUCUGACGCUGGGAAUUCCUGCCUCCUGUUUUUAAGACUUAUGGUAACUUCGGAUCAGCGCGGUGCGCCGGCGGCGGCCAUUGGAAGCCCAGUUCACUCAUGUCAUUGAUGGGGAAUGACUUCAGGAAUAGGAAGUGCAAAAACUCAACGGGACUCUGCUCUGUCACCAGCUCCGGUGCGCCACUUGCCUCCUGCCAGUGAUGGUACCACUAGCCAUCCAGAAUCCCUCCAGUGGGACGUGGGCCUUGCCAUUUGUAGCAGGCUGUCUCCAAGGAUAAUUGUUAGCAAAUCCUCCCAUCCCAGUGUGCGCAUGCUGCUCCUCCAGUCAAGGGGCUAGGGUUGUGGCACAGUGAGCCAAGCUGCUGCCUGCCAUGCUGACAUUCUGCAUCAGAGGACUGGUUCAAGUCCUGGCUGCGCUGCUUCAGAUCCAGCUCCCUGCUAAUGUGCCUUAAAGGCAGCAGAAGAUGGCCCAAGGACUUGAAUCCCUGCCACCCACAUGGGAGACCAGGCUGGAGUUCCUGGCUUCUGGAUUUGGGCUGGCCCAGUCCCAGCUAUUGCGGCCAUCUGGGGAAUGAAUCAGUGGAUGAAAGAUCUCUCUCUCUCUCUCCUCCCCACCAUCUUUCCCUCUCUAUUUGUAACUCUUUAAAAUAAAUAAAUAGAUUUUUUUGACA